Molecule: ribosomal RNA, 375 nt
Filed under: uncultured organism
Description: partial 16S ribosomal RNA
Rfam family: Bacterial small subunit ribosomal RNA
Source: RNAcentral
GUAGGGUCCAAGCGUUAAUCGGGAAUUACUGGGGCGUAAAGCGUGCGCAGGCGGUUGUGCAAGACCGAUGUGAAAUCCCCGGGGCUUAACCUGGGAAUUGCAUUGGUGACUGCACGGCUAGAGUGUGUCACGGGGGGGGUAGAAUUCCACGUGUAGCAGUGAAAUGCGUAGAGAUGUGGAGGAAUACCGAUGGCGAAGGCAGCCCCCUGGGAUAACACUGACGCUCAUGCACGAAAGCGUGGGGAGCAAACAGGAUUAGAUACCCUGGUAGUCCACGCCCUAAACGAUGUCAACUAGUUGUUGGGGAUUCAUUUCCUUAGUAACGUAGCUAACGCGUGAAGUUGACCGCCUGGGGAGUACGGUCGCAAAGAUUAA